CUGAACGGUCAGAAACGUGUUAGAUGAUACUCUUCUGCUUAUUUAUCAAUGCUGCAAACCUCUGUAUUUCUAGAAGUGAGCUGGUCUUUAAGCAUAUCUGUAUGGGAACUGUUGAGUCAUGGCCUGAACCACUGAUUGAGCACCUGGAGGAAAGACCCAGCCAGCCCUGGGAGCACAGGUGAAGGCAAUUCACCUGUGCAACCAGAAGGGGUGGAGCCAGGCUCCACCCCUCUUAGGCCUCAUCUAAGGGCUGACUGCCCUGAGGAAGGAUCUCUUCCUGGAGAUCCCUCCUUGGUGGGGGCCUUUCCCUGCGAGCCCAAAAUCUUCCCAUCUGGGUGAGUGCUUUAUUUUCCUUCCACCUUCUUGUAAAGCAAUUUCCAUCGCGUUAGUCCUUUUGAUUGCUACAGUAUCAAAAAAAAAAAAGGAGAAAAAAGUAUUAAAAAAAGGACUAUUCCCAGCUGUGAAUACCACUAGAAAAGCUAGAAUCUCUUGAAAAAUAUAUUUCUUUUGUGAUUUCUGAACUUGUGGUGAUACAGGCUGAGGGAAGCAGCGUGCUGCAGCAGGAGCACGAGCACGAGCAUGGGACCCGGGUGGUCCUAGGACUGAAUCCCAGUUGUGCUGCACCUGGCAAAGCUGGCUCAUCUCCAGCCAGCCCCUGACCUCCUUUUACUGCCCCUUUGUGUUUGUGGACACAAGAUUGUUUCUAUAUGUGUACUUAAGGGUGCUUAUCAGAAUGUCACCAGUUUAGACUGAUGUCCUUAGGCUUGAUCAGAAUUCAAAUAAUUACUCUUUGAAGUUUGAUUAUUGUUAACUGUAACCAUGAAGAUGUCUUUCUCUGAAGAAAUCCUAUUCUUUCUAUUUUAGGUUUCUGACUUUGUCUGGAGCAAUGACAUAGAUGGCCGUAGAUGUUUCUCAGCACUGGGGCCUGCUUUCCUCAGCCAAACUCACCUUAACAUCACAGAAAAUUGGCAGAAAACACAGGGUCCCACAGAUGUAUGUCAUAUGGCUAGGACCUAGGUGCCACACAGCGGUGCUCUUGACUCCAUGUUGCUCAAAGGCCUGUGCUGGCUGGAGGGAGUUAAAGCAGCAAGCCUACCAGAACUGGCUUUGGAAGGAGGGCUAAGACUCAGCUCUGCAAAGAAGGUGAACCAUCCAGUGGGAUGAGGCAUUUUCUUGCCCGACUGAUCUACUAAGUCAGAUAUGGAAAGAAUCACAGAAAUGAAGGGACCUCAAGAGAGCAUUGAGUCCAAACUCCUGCUAAAGCAGGUACAAAGAAAUAUAUAAUGACAGCUUACAAAAAUCCCAAGUUUUUAUUUUUGUAGCUAUUGUUCCUUCCCAUUUCCUCUGUUUUCUUCUGUCUGUAGAAGAUUCAUCCCGGUUCAUAUCUCAGCAUCCUCCCGGAAUCAGGGACAGAUACAUUUCUCUGGGUCAGUCAUGAAUAUGAAGAGAAGUAAGGCAGAUGGAGAGGAGAUGCACCUUCUCCAUGUAAGGAGAGGACCACACAAAAUUAAGAACAGCCAUGGUGGACCCAGGUAGGAACCCCAUUCUUGGGGGCAGUCAGCAGUGGCACUGGCCUAAUGUCAGUUGAAAUAUCCCUUUUUCUCUCAAGAAAAGCUCUGUAUCUAGUGUACAUCUUCACCUGUAUCAAGGCUAUGGCUCAGUGAAAUCACCAAGAAUGAUUUAAUUGACUUUUGUGUACUUUUAAUCUAAUCCUCUGAACUGUAGCAUUCUGAUAGCCAAUGUUUAGCCUUAUUCAUUUAGGAGUUCAGUUCACCUCUCACUGAGAAUUUCUGAAAGCCUUACUGAAAAAUGGAUUGGGCAUUUAGCUAUUUAUGAGAAUCUUGCUUUUAAACUGUGAGAAGAUAUCUUUUUAAUUAAUCCUCACAGAAAACAAUUGAAUGCUUGACCUACAAGGAUAAUUACUUGUGUUCUGCUUUGAUUACUUUGUAAAAGUUUUAUUGGAUUUAUAUAGUGUACUGCAUAAUAUGUGAUCUAAAAUUGGAGCUCUUUACUACAGCAUGGAGUGGAGCUUUAUACUGCAGCAUAAACUUUAUAGAAUUGACAACCAUGUUGUCUAUAUAAAAACAUCAUUCUGUAAUUAGUCUUAUUAGUAUAAUUUUUUA
Long non-coding RNA from Numida meleagris (helmeted guineafowl), 2123 nucleotides. The record is from Ensembl. NCBI's taxonomy places the organism in Eukaryota, Metazoa, Chordata, Aves, Galliformes, Numididae.